UUGGAAAGAACGGAUUUCUGGCAUCCUGUUCUUUAAUGGUGAAUGGUCUUGUUUCAAGGAGUCGCCACCUAGUAUUAUGAUCACUAGGAACCCUAACUGGUCAACAGAGAUUCUAUGGUACGGGACUGGUUACGCAAAAGGGAAGAUAUUAUCACCCCUUAAACGUCCUGCCUGAGGCAGGCUGCAUUGCUGGUUUUGUCAUAAAUUGCUAACAUUUUGUUGGUUUAUGCUAUGAUGGUUUGCGUGUAAUAUUCCUGACUCUGGCGUCAGUGAAUAUUUAACUACGGAUAUUUCCAACUCUGGCGUUGGUAAAUAUCACGUAGCUAUAAAAACAAAAUAAA
This 341-nucleotide long non-coding RNA is filed under the name Populus trichocarpa (black cottonwood). Its description in RNAcentral is "long non-coding RNA (PTRI_LNC000690)". The record is from RNAcentral. Lineage: Eukaryota; Viridiplantae; Streptophyta; Magnoliopsida; Malpighiales; Salicaceae.